This 253-nucleotide ribosomal RNA is filed under the name uncultured bacterium. RNAcentral's name for it is "partial 16S ribosomal RNA". It matches the Rfam family "Bacterial small subunit ribosomal RNA", at positions 524 to 776 of the family's 1533-position model. The record is from RNAcentral.
UACAGAGGUCUCAAGCGUUGUUCGGAUUCAUUGGGCGUAAAGGGUGCGUAGGUGGCGCGUUAAGUCAGGUGUGAAAUUUCGGAGCUUAACUCCGAAACUGCAUUUGAUACUGGCGUGCUUGAGGACUGGAGAGGAGACUGGAAUUCAUGGUGUAGCAGUGAAAUGCGUAGAGAUCAUGAGGAAGACCAGUGGCGAAGGCGGGUCUCUGGGCAGUAACUGACGCUGAGGAGCGAAAGCGUGGGGAGCGAACAGG